UGGGGAAUAUUGCACAAUGGGCGAAAGCCUGAUGCAGCGACGCCGCGUGAGGGAUGACGGCCUUCGGUUGUAACCUCUUCAGCAGGACGAAGCGAGAGUGACGGUACCUGCAGAAGAAGCGCCGGCCAACUACGUGCCAGCAGCCGCGGUAAUACGUAGGAUGCAAGCGUUGUCCGGAAUUAUUGGGCGUAAAGGGUGCGCAGGCGGUUUUUCAAGUCAGAUGUGAAAUAUCCCGGCUUAACUGGGAGGGGCCAUUUGAAACUGAAAGACUAGAGUGCAGGAGAGGAUAGCGGAAUUCCCGGUGUAGUGGUGAAAUGCGUAGAUAUCGGGAGGAACACCAGUGGCGAAGGCGGCUAUCUGGCCUGCAACUGACGCUGAGGCACGAAGGCUAGGGGAGCGAACAGGAUUAGAUACC
RNAcentral lists this ribosomal RNA (415 nucleotides) under uncultured bacterium. RNAcentral's name for it is "bacterial SSU rRNA". It matches the Rfam family "Bacterial small subunit ribosomal RNA", at positions 355 to 786 of the family's 1533-position model. The record is from RNAcentral.